This 368-nucleotide ribosomal RNA is filed under the name uncultured organism. RNAcentral describes it as "bacterial LSU rRNA". It matches the Rfam family "Bacterial large subunit ribosomal RNA", at positions 2099 to 2464 of the family's 2925-position model. The record is from RNAcentral.
CUUGACUGUAUCCUGGAAUUGGGUUCGGGCUUUUCUUGCGCAGCCUAGGUGGGAGGCUAUGAAGAUUUCCUUCCGGGGAAGUUGGAGCCAUCAGUGAGAGACCACUCUGGAGAGGCUAGAAUCCUAAUGGUGAUCCUUGAAUCAGGACACUUGACAGUUUCAGGUGGGCAGUUUUUCUGGGGCGGAAGCCUCAUAAAGGGUAACUGAGGCGCGCAAAGGUCCCCUCAGUCUGGACGGAAAUCAGACAACGAGUGUAAAGGCAAAAGGGGGCUUGACUGCAAGACCUACAAGUCGAGCAGGAGCGAAAGCUGGCCUUGGGGAUCCGACGGUACCGUGUGGAAGGGCCGUCGCUCAACGAAUAAAAGUUG